UACAGGGGGUGCAAACGUUGCUCGGAAUUAUUGGGCGUAAAGCGCGCGUAGGCGGCUACUUAAGUCGGAUGUGAAAGCCCCUGGCUCAACUGGGGAAGUGCACCCGAAACUGAGUAGCUAGAGUGCAAAAGAGGGUCGCGGAAUUCCCGGUGUAGAGGUGAAAUUCGUAGAUAUCGGGAGGAACACCGGUGGCGAAGGCGGCGACCUGGGUUGACACUGACGCUGAGGCGCGAAAGCGUGGGGAGCAACCAGG
This 253-nucleotide ribosomal RNA is filed under the name uncultured bacterium. RNAcentral describes it as "partial 16S ribosomal RNA". It matches the Rfam family "Bacterial small subunit ribosomal RNA", at positions 524 to 776 of the family's 1533-position model. The record is from RNAcentral.